AUCCAAAUUAAAACAAAUCUUGAAAAUUUCUCUCACUCCCUCACCCUCACCAAUCGACACACUCUCUCUCUCUCUCCCUCAUCUCUCUCUUUUCCUCCAUUAACAACCAUAGAUGAAGACCUUCGAAGCUUCAUAAAUUCAUAUCAAAAGCAAAUCCACCUCUAGAUCUAUCCAAAACAUGCACCCUCUAUCUCCUAGAAUUCAAGAAAAUCCUUGGAGUUUAGAUUCAAAGUUAGAAAGAGAAAGUUUGAUUUUUGGGUGUAAGCUUGGGUAAGUGGUCUUUAAAUUCAUAGAUCUAGCUUGUAUGAUGUUAUAUGUGAGUUUAUUUGGAGGAUUGAAAGCAAGAAAUCACCCCCUCCCUUUUUCUUUGAAAUUUUCGAAAAUUGUGGGUCUUUACCCUUCAAAAAAUUUUCUUUUUCUUUCCUUAAAUUGGGGUGAGAAAUGUGAUCUAUGAUAUGUUUGACGAUGAUUGAUGUGUGAAUUGAAAAGCUAUGUCUUGAGAUGCAAAGUUUGGUUGAGUUUAGUUUACCCAAAAUUGGGAAUUUGUGAGUUGAUGUUUGAAAUGAUGAAUUGAUGAUGAGCAUGAGAUUAUGAGAUGUCUAAGAUGAUAAUUGAUGGAUUAAAUUGAGGAUAUGAUGUUAAUUGAUGACUUUGAUGUGAGUUAGUUUGAUAAAAUUAGGGAUAUGUGUAUCUAUGCCCUAAAUUGUUAAUUGAUGGUUUAUAUGUGAGAUUAAAUGGUUAAAAUUGAUAGAUCUGUGAUUGGAUUAAAGUUUCAUAUGUGUUUGUGAAAUUUCAAAGAGUUUAGUGUAACCAAAAUUAGGACUUUCAUGCCUAUGUGUUAAAUAAGUAAAUUGGCUUAGGAUAAAUGUAAUUGAGCAUGAUAUUAGAGUCUAAUUAUGCUUGGUUAGGUUAAAUGUUAGCUAUAUAAAAUUUUAACUUAGUUUAGUUUACACAAGUUUUAGGUUUUCAUGUGUUAUGAGGUCAAUGAUUGGUUUAAUGAGGUUUAAUUGAUAUACGAUCAUUAUGUGGACGUUUGUCAUGCUUUAUUUAAGAGUCCACGUUGAUAUGUGAGUUUUCUCCGAGUUUAGUUUGCAUGAUAAAAGAGAGUCUAUGUAUGUGUAAUGAGUUAUGUGAUGUAUGAGGUCAAUUAUGAGUGAUUGAGUACUUUUGAGCAUGAAAAUGAGAUGAGUAUUAAAACGAUGCGUUCUUGAAACGUUUUCUUGAGAUUUGAGUUUGAGAUGUAAGAGAAGAGUCGAGCUUGAGUUGUGAUGAGUAAUAUGUUCAUACUUGAAUGUUUUUAAGUGCUAUAAGUGUUGAAGUUGAGUUUUAAGAAGUUUUUAUUGAUGAAGUGUAGAGUCGAGCAUGUUUGCUUGAGUGUUUGAGUUGGGAGAUGUUUUUCGUGACGCACUGACCUACUGAUUUAGAAGGGUUUAUGUUACCCAAAAACCUUGAAAAUUUUAUGACACGUUUAUAUGAGAUUCUUAAGCAUACCGGUAAAAUUUAAAGUUAUUUGGACUUUGUUUACUAUAUUUAUAAAAUGGAAAACCAAAACUGCUACGUUCUGCCGAAAUGUUCGGUGAGUAGCCAAAAGCGUCGCCUUUUACAGUAUCUUUCCCUAACGGUUUGGAGUCCAAAUUUUUAUUUUUGAGACAUGAGUGUCUUAUCUAAGUACCUACCAAAUUUUAGACCUUUUCGGCAACGUUUACUAUUUUUCAAAAAUCAAAGUUUUUAAUUGCUCAAAACUGCCGAAUAUGGUAGACUGUAGAAACAUAGUCAUAUAUCCUAAACUACUUGGAUUUUUUUAUCCUACUUUUUUUAAAAUGAAACUAGACUCAAAGAGUUUUCAAAUGGUAUAGGUUACAACUCCAUUGGAGUUCUGUACCGAGUCUGGUGAAGGUUUUAAAUCGAGUCAGUGCAGAAUGAAGUUUGUUUACGACAUGUCUAUGUGUGAAUUGAUAUGCUUAUGUGUUUAUGCUUGUUUAUGUGCUUGAUUGCUAUGAGUUUGAUCCGAGUUGAGUGUUAAGUCGAGAAUAGGACGUGUGAAUCCUUAGAAGUUAAGUAAACCUAGGGAUUGAGAUUUAUUGGGUAAAUAGAAGAUGAGUGAGAAGUAUUAGUUUGAGACGAGAUUGGUUUUAGUAACGAGUUCUAACUAAGGUUUGUUUUAUCACAUGAACCUUCGAUGACGAUGAUGAUGAUAUAUGAAGGCCCGAGCGAGAUGAAGAAGUAAGUCGCCUGUUUUCCUUUCCAAGUUGAGCGAAGGACUUCAGGCUAAGCGAGGAGCGAGAUUGGUCUGGUGCUGGUGGGGGAUUGUUUAGUUGAUGUAUUUACUUUAUCGCAUUUCCAUUUUGUCGAUACAGUCUUGAUGAUUGAGUUACUUUGUUUUCUUUUGAAUCAAGCAAUGUACUCUCGGUUAUGUGUCUUCAUACAUAUAAUCAGUUCGAUUUUUGCUGCGAUACUCUGAAUUUUAUGCUUCCUUAUGAAAAAUGAGCUAUACCCGCUUUGUUUU
Salvia miltiorrhiza (redroot sage) is the source of this 2506-nucleotide long non-coding RNA. RefSeq lists it as uncharacterized. The transcript is spliced from 2 exons. NCBI's taxonomy places the organism in Eukaryota, Viridiplantae, Streptophyta, Magnoliopsida, Lamiales, Lamiaceae. The record is from RefSeq and is a predicted model, not a curated record.